AAGUUAUUCAAUCAGGUCCUUAUUCUUACAGGAAUAAGCCAAUAGUGUUGAAACCAUGGGAAAUUGAUUUCUCUUUCCAGAAGGACAUGCUGAGUACAGUUCCUGUGUGGAUUAGGUUUCCGGGACUACCUGUAGGCUAUUGGUCAACUGAUGCAUUGAGCAAGUUGUCUAGUGCAGUGGGGAAACCCUUGUAUACAGACAAGUUCACAGCUCAUUAUGAGAAAAUAUCUUAUGCUAGAGUGCUAGUGGAGGUUGAUGAUGCAUACCCUCUACCUAAUCAGAUAGAGAUUGAGACUCAUUUUGGGCUUAAAACUCAGAUGAUUGAUUAUGACUGGAAGCCUAUCUAUUGCAAUCACUAUCUGAAAUAAUAGAGAUUGAGACUCCUUUUGGGCUUAAAACUCAGAUGAUUGAUUAUGACUGGAAGCCUAUCUAUUGCAAUCACUAUUUGAAAUUUGACCAUGAUUCUAUAGAUUGAUGGUAUAAUACUAGCUUUGAUGAAGAACAGGAGCUGGACGAAGGGGGUAAGCCAAAGAGACAGAGGAUCAGAAUGAAAAAGUAUGUAAAACCAGUAAAGCAAGAAUGGCUGGUUAAAAAGGAUCGAGAUAGAGCAGAACUAAAUGCACAGGAGCAAUUACCAGAACAAUCAGCUAAUAAGGAAACUGAGGGGUUGGGGGAAACCACAAUUACAAUGGUGAUUACUCAACAGGAUGAAAAGUAAAGUACUGACAUUCAGGAACAGAAUGAAACAAUAAAUAGUGAAUCUAUUUACAGCAUUGAGGUAAUGGAAGAAAAUAGCAGAAAUGGCAAGGCAAUUGUUGAAGGGGUAGAUGGUGGAAGAAGGAUAGCAAAUUGACCCUGGACCUUCUCAGUACCUAAAUCCAAAGUUGAUAUGAUUAUUGUCACUUGGGAUAUUAGGGGACUAAACCUAGCCAUAAGCAGAAAGAGUUGAAGACCUUUCUUGCUGUAAAUAAAGUAGAUAUUCUGGGUUGUAUAGAGACUAGAGUUAAGGAACAUAAAGCAAAGAAAAUACAAGGAAAGAUUGCAAAAGGAUGGAAUGUCCAUUGCAAUUAUUCAAAGGCUGUUAAUGGGAGAAUUUGGCUUCUUUGGAAACCUCAUAUCCAUCUUCAAGUUUCCCAAGUGACUGAAUGGGAGAAUUUGGCUUCUUUGGAAACCUCAUAUCCAUCUUCAAGUUUCCCAAGUAACUGAUCAAUUCAUUCAGUGCUUCAUUGAAGAUUCCAACACUCAAUUCAAAACUCACUUCUGUGUCAUUUAUGCUCAGAAUGAUGGCAACCAAAGAGAACAGUUGUGGAGUGAUCUGAGGCAAAUACAUAUACCUGGCAAGGACAAUUGGCUGCUGAGUGGUAAUUUUAAUAAUGUCUUAAGUUCUGAAGACAGAAUUGGUUCACCUGUAUCUGAUGCUGAAGUUAAAGGUUUUAGAAAUGUCAUUGAUGACUUGCAGCUUACUCCUCUCAGAGCAAAAGGUUGGCAUUUCACUUGGACAAACAAGCAGGAUGUUUCAUNNNN
This 1524-nucleotide long non-coding RNA is filed under the name Nicotiana benthamiana. Its description in RNAcentral is "long non-coding RNA (NBEN_LNC014353)". The record is from RNAcentral. Lineage: Eukaryota; Viridiplantae; Streptophyta; Magnoliopsida; Solanales; Solanaceae.